GACGAACGCUGGCGGCGUGCUUAACACAUGCAAGUCGAGCGGUAAGGCCCUUUCGGGGUACGACGAGCGGCGAACGGGUGAGUAACACGUGGGUGACCUGCCCUCAGCUCUGGGAUAAGCCUGGGAAACCGGGUCUAAUACUGGAUAUGACUCCAUGACGCAUGGUUGUGGGGUGGAAAGCCUUGUGCGGCUGAGGAUGGGCCCGCGGCCUAUCAGCUUGUUGGUGGGGUGAUGGCCUACCAAGGCGACGACGGUAGCCGGCCUGAGAGGGCGACCGGCCGACACUGGGACUGAGACACGGCCCACGA
RNAcentral lists this ribosomal RNA (308 nucleotides) under uncultured bacterium. Its description in RNAcentral is "bacterial SSU rRNA". It matches the Rfam family "Bacterial small subunit ribosomal RNA", at positions 28 to 335 of the family's 1533-position model. The record is from RNAcentral.